This 1305-nucleotide ribosomal RNA is filed under the name uncultured bacterium. Its description in RNAcentral is "bacterial SSU rRNA". It matches the Rfam family "Bacterial small subunit ribosomal RNA", at positions 29 to 1379 of the family's 1533-position model. The record is from RNAcentral.
AUGAACGCUGGCGGCGUGCCUAAAACAUGCAAGUCGUGCGGCAGCAUGCCCUUCGGGGUGAUGGCGAGCGGCGGACGGCUGAGUAACGCGUGGGAAUCUGCCCCGAAGUGAGGAAUAACUGCCCGAAAGGGUGGCUAAUGCCGCAUAUGGUCUACGGAUUAAAGCUUCGGCGCUUCGGGAGGAGCCCGCGUAAGAUUAGAUAGUUGGUGAGGUAAUGGCUCACCAAGACGAUGAUCUGUAGCUGGUUUGAGAGGAUGAUCAGCCAGACUGGAACUGAGAUACGGUCCAGACUCCUACGGGAGGCAGCAGUUAGGAAUAUUCCACAAUGGGGGCAACCCUGAUGGAGCAACGCCGCGUGGAGGAUGAAGGCCUUAGGGUCGUAAACUUCUUUUCUUUGUGAUGAAUAUGACAGUAACAGAGGAAUAAGGGUCUGCUAACUACGUGCCAGCAGCCGCGGUCAUACGUAGGACCCAAGCGUUAUCCGGAUUGACUGGGCGUAAAGAGUUGCGUAGGUGGUAAUUCAAGCGAAUGGUGAAAUCUUGUGGCUCAACCAUAAGGCUAUUAUUCGAACUGUAUUACUCGAGAACAGGAGAGGUACCUGGAAUUCCCAGUGUAGGAGUGAAAUCCGUAGAUAUUGGGAGGAACACCAAUGGCGUAGGCGGAAUACUGGACUGUUUCUGACACUAAGGCACGAAAGCGUGGGGGAGCGAACUGGAUUAGAUACCCAGGUAGUCCACGCCGUAAACUAUGGAUGCUAGCAGUAAGCCGUAUCGACCCGGUUUGUUGCGAAGCUAACGCGUUAAGCAUCCCGCCUGUGGAGUACGAGCGCAAGCUUAAAACAUAAAGGAAUUGACGGGGACCCGCACAAGCGGUGGAGCGUGUUGUNUAAUACGAUGGUAAGCGUAGAACCUUACCAGGGUUUGACAUCCUUGGAAUUACUGUGAAAGCAGUGAGUGCCUUCGGGAAUCAAGUGACAGGUGUUGCAUGGCCGUCUUCAGCUCGUGUCGUGAGACGUUUGGUUAAGUCCAUCAACGAGCGCAACCCUUAUGGUUAGUUGUAUUUUUCUAGCCAGACUGCCCCGGUAACGGGGAGGAAGGAGGGGAUGAUGUCAGGUCAGUAUUACCCUUACACCCUGGGCUACAAACGCGCUACAAUGGCCGGUACAACGGGCAGCCAAGUCGUGAGACGGAGCAAAUCCCAUCAAAGCCGGUCCAAGUUCGGAUUGCAGGCUGAAACUCGCCUGCAUGAAGCUGGAAUCGCUAGUAAUCGCAGAUCAGCAUGCUGCGGUGAAUACGUUCCCNGGGU